GUCACUCUGUAUAGCAUGUAAUAUGUGUUGUAUUCUUUGGUUACUUUCAUAAAAAAAUAAUGUUUUUCUUUUUCUAAAAAUAAUAAAGGAAAAAAUUAAAACAUGGUUUAAAAUCAAAUAUUUAUUAAAUAAAAAUAUCUCAAAAUAAAAUCUAGUAAAUAAAUAAAUAAAACGUAUAUCGUGUCGUUUGUAAGCAUCCCACGCAUGUUAUACUUCUUUUGCUCUCUCUCUCUCUCUCUCUCACACACACACACACACACACACAAACAAACAUUGCUGAGAGGGAGAAACAGGUCGCGGCAUCAGCUCUCGCAAACUCUUUAAACUUUAAACGUUUAACCGGAGCGCGGAGGAGCGGAGCACUUGACGCCGCCUGGCCGGCGGCUUUUGUAAUUCUCUCUGAAGGACGGAUCUUCAGGUGUAGUCGAGCGUCGUGGGAUAGUUACAGAGGAAACAUCACGCUGCCGAGGAUCCCGGAGUCUAACAUGGCUCUGAGCGUGUUAGGUAUGUUUCUGGGAUUGCUUCUGGAAGUUUCCACACACGGACCCUCCAGCGUUCCCAGAAGCUCAUGGAGGCAUGACGGUGAGUGAAGGGUUAAAGUUUCUCUUGUCAGAAAUGAAACCUCUGCAGGUGCCACACAUCUGACUUCCUGUGCUUAUAAAACAUGCUUCUGAAUUGUGUGUAUAAAUAUAUAAUUUUUUUUAACAUUGUAUAUUAGAAUGAUUUCUGAAGGAUCAUGUGACACUGAAGACUGGAGUAAUGAUGCUUUGAUCACAGGAAUAAAUUUCAUUUCAACAGAUAUUCA
This is a long non-coding RNA of Cyprinus carpio (common carp), 805 nucleotides long. NCBI's taxonomy places the organism in Eukaryota, Metazoa, Chordata, Actinopteri, Cypriniformes, Cyprinidae. The record is from Ensembl.